This 246-nucleotide ribosomal RNA is filed under the name uncultured bacterium. RNAcentral's name for it is "partial 16S ribosomal RNA". It matches the Rfam family "Bacterial small subunit ribosomal RNA", at positions 523 to 769 of the family's 1533-position model. The record is from RNAcentral.
AUACAUAGGGGGCAAGCGUUAUCCGGAAUUAUUGGGCGUAAAGGGUGCGUAGGCGGUCUAUUAAGUCUGAGGUGUAAGUGCAGGGCUCAACCCUGUGAUGCUUUAGAAACUGGUAGACUUGAGUGAGAUAGAGGCAAGUGGAAUUCCAUGUGUAGCGGUAAAAUGCGUAAAUAUAUGGAGGAACACCAGUGGCGAAGGCGGCUUGCUGGGUCUAUACUGACGCUGAGGCACGAAAGCGUGGGGAGC